This 414-nucleotide ribosomal RNA is filed under the name uncultured microorganism. RNAcentral's name for it is "bacterial SSU rRNA". It matches the Rfam family "Archaeal small subunit ribosomal RNA", at positions 459 to 872 of the family's 1478-position model. The record is from RNAcentral.
CAGCCGCCGCGGUAAUACCGGCGGCCCGAGUGGCGGUCACUAUUAUUGGGCUUAAAGCGUCCGUAGCCGGGGUGGGAAGUCCUCCGGGAAAUCUGGCCGCUUAAAGGUCAGAAUGCCGGAGGAUACUCCCAGCCUAGGGAGCGGGAGAGGCCGAGGGGAUUCCCGGAGUAGGGGGGAAAUCCUAUAAUCCCGGGAGGGCCACCUGUGGCGAAGGCGCUCGGCUGGAACGCGUCCGACGGUGAGGGACGAAGGCCAGGGGAGCAAACCGGAUUAGAUACCCGGGUAGUCCUGGCUGUAAACGAUGCGGACUUUGUGUCGGACAAGCUAUGAGCUUGUCCGGUGCCGGAGGGAAACCGUUAAGUCCGCCGCCUGGGGAGUACGGCCGCAAGGCUGAAACUUAAAGGAAUUGGCGGG